AAUAAUAGUUAAUGACGCUCAGAAAAUCCAUCAGUUUUAAAUGUGGUGAAGCUGGCUGUAACAUAUGAUAAGAUCUUUAUGUACAGGUGGAAAUAUUUCAUCAUGGUCCUUUGCUAUUUCAACUCACAUGGAAGAAAGCCCACUGGGUGUACUCCUUGAACCAACCAAAUAGACUCAAUCAAAAACACACAUAGCAUCGGCAAACAUCAGAGAAUACAAAGAAAGAAAGUUCAAGAAAAUGCAUCUCAAGGGCUCUGUUUGUACAGGUCUGGCCUCUCGAAGAUUGAGCCAUUCUUAGACCUUUUACUGGAGAGGCUUUGUGUAACGUACUGCCUAAUGGCUCGGCUGUUCAAAUGUGAUACAGUCCAUUAUGACAGUAGGCUAUGCUACCUAUGUGCAGACGGCAAGACAGAACUGAAGCAACAGUCACAUUUCCAAGCCAAACAAACUUAAAAAUUAAUGCUGUGAAGGGGAGAACUGUAUUCCAAAUCUCCAUGAACUGUUACCGGUGCCAAAUUAAAUGACUAUCAAAGGAGCAAUGAAGAAGUAUUAUAGGAAAUAAAAAGGGAAGGGGAAAAACUCCUUUAGGAGUUGAAUAAUUUAAUGGAGGGAGGGACGCUUCCACCUGAAACUUCAUUUGCAGCAACUUCUGGGAGUCACAGGUGUUUUAACGUGUUCCCUCAACCACUCGUUCAAUCCCUUGCAAAUUGUUGACCUUUAGAAAAUUGAAGGCAAUUCUCUAGUCAAGACGAAGUACAAACAGAGGGUAUAAGAGCCCCUGAUUUCAGCGAGUUUGUAAUCUUGUGGAGGAAUCGUGACACAUGCUUAGUAUUAUUAAUGCAAAGCAAAGAUCUUUAUGUAAAUUUCUUAGAGUAAAAACCAUGAGCCUUUUGAGUUCAGAGGCAGAAAAAUAAAAAAACAAAUCUAAUCGUUCUCUCUGCUAACAUGAUAAUGCCCUGUUGUACUAUUUGUAGCCUGGCAUUUUGCUCUCCAAAAAGUCAGAAUUAUUCAUGCCCUAUGUCUUAUAGAGUAAAUUGUGAUAGAGUUUAGAGAACUGGGACUGGAAAUAUCUCUAAUAAUUAUGUGCUUGCUCCUUACAGAAGCACACAUUUUAUCUAGUACUUCUAAUUAUAUGGUAGUGAUGCGUAAGUAUUACUAAUUACAGGGAAAUGCUUGUCAUGCAUAUACCAUUUUCUUGGUUUUCAGUUAAAAGAAAAUGCCCACCAGGGUAAGAAAUAGAUGUUGGAAAGCAGCAUACUGCUGCCAAUGUUACGUGGCUUUCAAAGCUUUCACUGAUUUUCAAAUGUAGUUAUUUCAGUUUCCUGGUUUGCAAAUACAUAAAUAACCAAUCAUGUGAUGGUGUUCACCUCAUGUGUUUUAUGCAAAUUCCUAGUGUUGCAGGUUCAAGUAGAAAUAUUUUACUUGGCAUUAAUUGAAUAAGAUGUAAAGGUACAAAUAUGCUUAACAUAGACUCAAAAAUAGGCAUUCCUUUAGGGCCCACUGAGGUAUGGACCUAACUUAAAUCCGUUUACCUUUUAGUUUUUAAAAUCAUUAGAUGCGUAUUGUUACAGAACAAGACAUGAAAAAUUUGUGAAACUUCAUAUAUAAAAUUUAAAUGUGUGUACUUAAAAAUAUUAAGUUCCGGCCUUGGCGGGAGGGGAUGGAGGCGGCCGCGGCGCCGGGGCGGGAUGCACCGGGGAGCACGGCGAGUCAGCCCAGCGGCUGCGGAAAACACAACUCGCUGGAGAGGAAGAAAGGCCAAAGAUAUUAUAAAAGCAGCUCGGGAGAGCCUUGCGAAGAUGAUUGGUGGGAAACCUCAAGACAUCAUCUUCACUUCCGGGGGCACCGAGUCAAAUAAUUGAGUAAUCCAUUCUGUGGUGAAACAUUUCCACGUAAACCAGACCUCAUAGGGAGACACGGGUGUGCACCACAGCCCAGUAGAUGGGCAAAGCCCCAUUUCAUCACUUCCUCUGCGGAACACGACUCCAUUCGACUACCCCUGGAGCACCUGGCAGAAGAACAAGCAGCAGCGGUCACCUUUGUCCCGGUGUCCAAGGCGAGCGGGCAGGCAGAGGUAGACGACAUCCUUGUAGCCGUCCGCCGGACCACACGCCUCGUGAGCAUCAUGCUGGCCAACGAGACCGGCGUCGUCAUUCCUGUCCCUGAAAUCAGCCAACGCAUUAAAGCCCUGAACCAGGAACGGGCAGCUGCCGGGCUGCCUCCCAUCCUUGUGCACACGGAUGCUGCACAGGCCUUGGGGAAGCGGCGCGUGGAUGUGGAGGACCUGGGCGUGGACUUCCUUACAAUCGUGGGGCACAAGUUUAAUGGUCCCAGGACUGGCGCACUUUAUGUACGGGGGAAUUGGUGAAUGUACCCUUCUCUACCCUAUGCUGUUUGGAGGUGGACAAGAACAGAAUUUCAGGCCAGGGUAAGGCAGAAAGUUAACUGGCCGUGUCAUGUCUGUAGAGCAGUGACAUUGUGAAGAACCAUGGCACCGUUUCUUUGUCUCGUGGGGGGCUCUGUAGCAGAGUCCAUGCUGCUGCUUUGUCACAGCUGGCUCCACUGACUGAUUUUAUGCUGAGGACUCACGGGACCUGCAGUCUCUCUGGCAAUGAAGGAAAUCUCCGUUUCUUUUAACUGCUUCAAAGCAUCCAAUUCCCCUUGUAAUUUUGGCCCAGCCCACUGGUGAGAGAACUGUUGGACCCUUCAUAGCUGAGGCCUGCUGCUGUUUUAACUUCGGGGAUCAGCAGGGCCACACGGAAGCACCCUGGUCUUCUUUCUGAUAGCUCCUGUGUACCCUCUAUGUACAGUGACAUGUUAACUGGGAAAUUACUUCUUGCCCCCACUAUACUUUUUGUUAGAAACUUCUUACCAAGAGAGAGAAACAGGAGCAGCAUGGGGAUGAGUUCCCUGGAUUUUCUUUUUGCAUUGUGUAUCCCACACAGUGCUGAGGAAGCUGGCAAACUGACACAAAAGUGCCCAACCAAAGCCUGUCCUUUCUGGCCAGUGGACCAGGAAAGGAGCGGCCUAGCAAGACAGAAGACCUUCAGACAACAGCCGCUUUCCUCCAGCCAGGCACUGCAGAGUAGUUGUGCUGCCGCGCCUGUCGACGCUGGAAAACAUUCAGCGGGAAACCCAGACUUCCACCAAUACAGGCUGUCACGAGGCAGUCCACAUCCUCACCAGUGUGUCAAGUAGGCCAGGUAGAGAACCAGGACUUCCACCCCCACCAUGGUAUCAGCAGAGACCAUAUAGGGAUCUUAGAUCCACACGUGUCAGUCAUAAGGAGCAUCCUCCCGUUGGGUGUCAGCAGCAGCCAAGUAAGAAAUCUAGACGUCGGGCGGGUGCAGUGGCUCAUGCCUGUAAUCCCAGCACUUUGGGAGGCUGAGACGGGUGGAUUGCUUGAGGUCAGGAGUUUGAGACCAUCCUGGCCAACAUGGUGAAACCUCGUCUCUACUAAAAAUACAAAAAUUAGCUUCGUGUAGUGGCACUUGCCUGUAAUCCCAGCUACUUGGGUGGCUGAGACAGGAAAAUCGCUUGAACCCGGGAGUUGGAAGUGGCAGUGAGCCAAGAUCGCACCACUGCACUCCAGCCUGGACCACAGAGCAAGACCUUGUCUCUUUUUUAAAAAGACAACAUUAAGCCGGGCGCAGUGGCUCACACCUGUAAUCCCAGCACUUUGGGAGGCUGAGGCGGGUGGAUCACGAGGUCAAGAGAUCAAGACCAUCCUGGUCAACAUGGUGAAACCCCGUCUAUACUAAAAAUACAAAAAAAAAAAAAAAAAAAAAAAAUUAGCUGGGCAUGGUUGCACGUGCCUGUAAUCCCAGCUACUCAGGAGGCUGAGGCAGGAGAAUUGCCUGAACCCAGCAGGCGGAGGUUGCAGUGAGCCGAGAUCGUGCCAUUGCACUCCAGCCUGGGUAACAAGAGAGAAACUCCGUCUAAAAAAAAAAAAAAAAAAAAAAAAAAAAAUAUAUAUAUAUAUAUAUAAAUAAAAAGACAACAUUAAAGAAAUAAAAUAAUAAUAAAAAAUUAAGUUCCCCUGCCUUUGUUUAUUGGAUAAACAAUAAAGCUUUAUUAUUAUAAACCUUUUUAACAAUGCUAUUGGAUAUUUUAAUGUGAUGUUUAUGUGUUGUGGUGUUUAUUAUUAUACACAGUAAUUUAUUUUUAUAUUUGUGUGACAUUCUUCACAAUUUAUGCUUCUACAGUUAUUUUACUUUGAAGGGAAGGAUGAAGCAGUAUAAAUAAUCAUUACAUUCAGCUACUAUACUUUUGUUGAAGUUCAGGAAAUAGAAAACUCUUAGGGACUAAGCAAAUUUUCAAAAUUAUUGCAUGUAAUUAGCCCAAGAUUAAAAAGAAUUUUUUUUGUCUCUUUCCCAGUGAAAGAUUAGUGAUGUUUUAAUUAAUUUACUGGCACUCAGCAUAGAAGAAGUUAUAAACUCUGAGGAAAGUAAACCCUUUGAAACAAUUUCAUUAGUGUAGAUUUUCAGAAUCUGUAUUUAAAAAGAGACAUAGUAACUUAAGACUUUCAGAAUCUGUAUUUAAAAAGAGACAUAGUAACUUAAGACUUUCAGAAUCUGUAUUUAAAAAGAGACAUAGUAACUUAAGACUAUAACAUAUUAAGUACUUCUCCUCAUUGUGGUAUUUUCCAUUAAAGAGAAAUAAGACUACCUAUGCAUAUUACUUAUCUCUUCCAAGACAGUAUUAUAAAUAUUUCAAUGCCUUAACUUUUAAAAAAAAUCGACACAUGUAUUUUACAUAUGUAUGGGGUGCAUGUGAUAUUUUGUUACAUGUAUGGGAUACGUAAUGGUCAAGAGACGGUGUUUGGGGUAUCCAUUACUUUGAGGAUUUAUCAUUUCUUUUUUUAUUGCAUUUUAGGUUUUGGGGUGCUUGUGAAGAACAUGCAAGAUUGUUGCCUAGGUACACACUUGGCAGUGUGAUUUGCUGCCUUCCUCCCAUCACCUAUAUCUGGUAUUUCUCCCCAUGCUAUCUCUCCCCAACUCCCCACCCCCUGCUGUCCCUCCCCUAUUUCCCCCAACAGACCCCAGUGUGUGAGGAUUUAUCAUUUCUAUGUGUUGGGAACAUUUAAAGUUCUCUCUUCUUGCUGCUGUGAAUUACACAAUACGUUGUUGCUGUGUAUAGUCACCAUGAAAUCCACUUUUCUAGUUCCCACAUAUGAGUGAGAACAUCAAUGUUCUCACGUCAACUCUUUUUUUUUUUUUUUAAUUUUUUAUUGGAUUAUAGGUUUUGGGGUACAUGAGCAGAGCAUGCAAGACAGUUGCGUAGGUACACACAUGGCAGUGUGCUUUGCUUUUCUUCUCCCCUUCAUUCACAUUUGGCAUUUCUCCCCAGGCUAUCCCUCCCCACCUCCCCCUCCCACUGGCCCUCCCCUUUUCCCCCCAAUAGACCCCAGUGUUUAGUACUCCCCUUUCUGUGUCCAUGUGUUCUCAUUUUUCAUCACCCACCUAUGAGUGAGAAUAUGCGGUGUUUCAUUUUCUGUUCUUGUGUCAGUUUGCUGAGGAUGAUGUUUUCCAGAUUCAUCCAUGUCCCUACAAACGACACGAACUCAUCAUUUCUGAUUGCUGCAUAAUAUUCCAUGGUGUAUAUGUGCCACAUUUUUCCAAUCCAGUCUAUUAUCAAUGGGCAUUUGGGUUGAUUCCAGGUCUUUGCUAUUGUAAACAGUGCUGCAAUGAACAUUCGUGUACAUGUGUCCUCACGUCAACUCUUA
Callithrix jacchus (white-tufted-ear marmoset) is the source of this 5725-nucleotide non-coding RNA. Lineage: Eukaryota; Metazoa; Chordata; Mammalia; Primates; Cebidae. The record is from RefSeq and is a predicted model, not a curated record.